Molecule: ribosomal RNA, 497 nt
Filed under: uncultured bacterium
Lineage: Bacteria
Description: partial 16S ribosomal RNA
Rfam family: Bacterial small subunit ribosomal RNA
Source: RNAcentral
GAUGAACGCUGGCGGCGUGCCUAAUACAUGCAAGUAGAACGCUGAAGCUUGGUGCUUGCACCGAGCGGAUGAGUUGCGAACGGGUGAGUAACGCGUAGGUAACCUGCCUGGUAGCGGGGGAUAACUAUUGGAAACGAUAGCUAAUACCGCAUAACAGUAGAUAUUGCAUGAUAUCUGCUUGAAAGGUGCAAAUGCAUCACUACCAGAUGGACCUGCGUUGUAUUAGCUAGUUGGUGAGGUAACGGCUCACCAAGGCGACGAUACAUAGCCGACCUGAGAGGGUGAUCGGCCACACUGGGACUGAGACACGGCCCAGACUCCUACGGGAGGCAGCAGUAGGGAAUCUUCGGCAAUGGGGGGAACCCUGACCGAGCAACGCCGCGUGAGUGAAGAAGGGUGUCGGAUCGUAAAGCUCUGUUGUAAGAGAAGAACGAGUGUGAGAGUGGAAAGUUCACACUGUGACGGUAGCUUACCAGAAAGGGACGGCUAACUACGUG